UGGGGAAUUUUGGACAAUGGGGGAAACCCUGAUCCAGCCAUCCCGCGUGUGCGAUGAAGGCCUUCGGGUUGUAAAGCACUUUUGGCAGGAAAGAAACGUCAUGGGUUAAUACCCCGUGAAACUGACGGAACCUGCAGAAUAAGCACCGGCUAACUACGUGCCAGCAGCCGCGGUAAUACGUAGGGUGCAAGCGUUAAUCGGAAUUACUGGGCGUAAAGCGUGCGCAGGCGGUUCGGAAAGAAAGAUGUGAAAUCCCAGAGCUCAACUUUGGAACUGCAUUUUUAACUACCGGGCUAGAGUGUGUCAGAGGGAGGUGGAAUUCCGCGUGUAGCAGUGAAAUGCGUAGAUAUGCGGAGGAACACCGAUGGCGAAGGCAGCCUCCUGGGAUAACACUGACGCUCAUGCACGAAAGCGUGGGGAGCAAACAGG
Molecule: ribosomal RNA, 429 nt
Filed under: Acidobacteriota bacterium
Lineage: Bacteria; Pseudomonadati; Acidobacteriota
Description: Acidobacteria bacterium partial 16S ribosomal RNA
Rfam family: Bacterial small subunit ribosomal RNA
Source: RNAcentral